RNAcentral lists this long non-coding RNA (224 nucleotides) under Panax ginseng (ginseng). RNAcentral describes it as "long non-coding RNA (PGIN_LNC006936)". Lineage: Eukaryota; Viridiplantae; Streptophyta; Magnoliopsida; Apiales; Araliaceae. The record is from RNAcentral.
UAAACUCUAUCAAAUAAAAUAUACUAAACAUCUUCUAUUUAUUCAUCUUGCCCUUGCCUUUGCUCGUUGAUGGGUCCUCAGGUUUUCUCAAUCUUAGCUGUAAUGUUUUAUGCAAGGGUGAGCAAAUAAUUGCCCACAAAUAUAGUAAAAAUAAUAAUAGCAUAUAUAUAAAUAGUUAAUAGUUAAUGAAUUAAACUCACCUGAAUAAUGUAAUCUUUCCUGUC